GAAGUGGUGGCCGAACUGGCGAGGCACCGGUCUGCAACACCGGCAGUGAGACACCGUCUCCAUGGGGGUUCGAGUCCCCUCCACUUCUCCA
This 91-nucleotide transfer RNA is filed under the name Gluconobacter oxydans. RNAcentral's name for it is "tRNA-Cys". It matches the Rfam family "tRNA". Rfam says of the family: Transfer RNA (tRNA) molecules are approximately 80 nucleotides in length. Their secondary structure includes four short double-helical elements and three loops (D, anti-codon, and T loops). Further hydrogen bonds mediate the characteristic L-shaped molecular structure. tRNAs have two regions of fundamental functional importance: the anti-codon, which is responsible for specific mRNA codon recognition, and the 3' end, to which the tRNAs corresponding amino acid is attached (by aminoacyl-tRNA synthetases). tRNAs cope with the degeneracy of the genetic code in two manners: having more than one tRNA (with a specific anti-codon) for a particular amino acid; and 'wobble' base-pairing, i.e. permitting non-standard base-pairing at the 3rd anti-codon position. RNAcentral also lists the same sequence under 2 other names. The record is from RNAcentral. Lineage: Bacteria; Pseudomonadati; Pseudomonadota; Alphaproteobacteria; Acetobacterales; Acetobacteraceae.